GGUUAAGUUAGAAAGGGCGCACGGUGGAUGCCUUGGCACUAGGAGCCGAAGAAGGACGGGACUAACACCGAUAUGCUUUGGGGAGCUGUACGUAAGCGUUGAUCCAGAGAUUUCCGAAUGGGGGAACCCACUAUCUUUAGUCGGAUAGUAUCCUUACGUGAAUACAUAGCGUGAGGAAGGCAGACCCAGGGAACUGAAACAUCUAAGUACCUGGAGGAAGAGAAAGAAAAAUCGAUUUCCUGAGUAGCGGCGAGCGAAACGGAAAGAGCCCAAACCAAGAAGCUUGCUUCUUGGGGUUGUAGGACACUCUAUACGGAGUUACAAAAGAAAGUUAUAAAUGAAGCGGUCUGGAAAGGCCCGCCAAAGACGGUAACAGCCCGGUAGUUGAAAUAGCUUUCCCUCCAGAGUGGAUCCUGAGUACGGCGGAACACGUGAAAUUCCGUCGGAAUCCGGGAGGACCAUCUCCCAAGGCUAAAUACUCCCUAGUGA
This 489-nucleotide ribosomal RNA is filed under the name Listeria monocytogenes. RNAcentral describes it as "partial 23S ribosomal RNA". It matches the Rfam family "Bacterial large subunit ribosomal RNA", at positions 1 to 483 of the family's 2925-position model. Lineage: Bacteria; Bacillati; Bacillota; Bacilli; Caryophanales; Listeriaceae. The record is from RNAcentral.